GUGGGCGUAGGAAAAUUGAGAGGAGCUGCUCCUAGUACGAGAGGACCGGAGUGGACGAACCUCUGGUGCACCGGUUGUCACGCCAGUGGCAUGGCCGGGUAGCUAAGUUCGGACGGGAUAACCGCUGAAAGCAUCUAAGCGGGAAGCCUCCCUCAAGAUGAGUUUUCCCAUGAAGCCCGUUGAAGACUACGACGUUGAUAGGCAAGGUGUGGAAGCGCAGUAAUGCGUGAAGCUAACUUGUACUAAUUGGCUGAUUGUCUUGACCAUAUAAUCUGAG
Molecule: ribosomal RNA, 277 nt
Filed under: Legionella pneumophila
Lineage: Bacteria; Pseudomonadati; Pseudomonadota; Gammaproteobacteria; Legionellales; Legionellaceae
Description: partial 23S ribosomal RNA
Rfam family: Bacterial large subunit ribosomal RNA
Source: RNAcentral